Small nucleolar RNA from Fonsecaea erecta, 101 nucleotides. It matches the Rfam family "Small nucleolar RNA Z13/snr52". From Rfam's summary of the family: Z13 or snr52 is a member of the C/D class of snoRNA which contain the C (UGAUGA) and D (CUGA) box motifs. Most of the members of the box C/D family function in directing site-specific 2'-O-methylation of substrate RNAs. The record is from Rfam. NCBI's taxonomy places the organism in Eukaryota, Fungi, Ascomycota, Eurotiomycetes, Chaetothyriales, Herpotrichiellaceae.
UGUCUCUAUAUGAUGAGAUAUCGGAUGUAAAUUCACAGACCUGUUCUGAAAGCGCAAAGCCAUGUGGAUGUUUCCGUUGCCUUCCUUCUGAUCUUCUUGAC